UUUUUAUAUGCAGGCUAAUGUAUUUUUAGCCCCACAGAUCAAUGUUGCCACUACAAGGUUCAAUAUUGAAAUGUGAUUAUCAGAAGCAGUGGGCCAUCAUUGAAAGAUUACCCUUGUAGUGAUUCCAAUCAAGGUAUGGAUAAUACAUGGUUUUAGUUCAUGGUAAAUGGUACCUUUUAUUGUGGAUCACCCCUGGACCAAAGACCUAGUACCUUUUGUUGUUGUAAGUUCCUAAUUAGUUUGUUUCUGUAUUUGCGUCGGAGCUAUCCGGAUGUUGAGCGGGGGUCCCUGGAAGGUGGGAACCGCUGUUAUGACCAUGAUGAAGCUGUCCAUUUCCUAUGGACAACAAUAUGGGUGGCCUGACCAUUUGGACAGGCCCGUGUUUAUGUAUUAUCUCGAAAUUGAUGAAGCAGAUCCGGAUGUGCGUCGGAGCUAUCCGGAUGUUGAGCGGGGGUCCCUGGAAGGUGGGAACCGCUGAUA
Magnolia sinica is the source of this 480-nucleotide long non-coding RNA. RefSeq lists it as uncharacterized. NCBI's taxonomy places the organism in Eukaryota, Viridiplantae, Streptophyta, Magnoliopsida, Magnoliales, Magnoliaceae. The record is from RefSeq and is a predicted model, not a curated record. The transcript has 2 exons.